UCUGGUGGCGAUGCGUUUAGGGGACACACCCGUUCCCAUCCCGAACACGACGGUUAAGACCUAAGCGGCCGAAAGUACUAUACUGGAGACGGUAUGGGAGGAUAGGAGGCUGCCAGAU
RNAcentral lists this ribosomal RNA (118 nucleotides) under Butyrivibrio fibrisolvens. The record is from RNAcentral. Lineage: Bacteria; Bacillati; Bacillota; Clostridia; Lachnospirales; Lachnospiraceae.